GGGCUGCCUCCUCCGCAGGUGGUGCAGGAGGUCGUCGGCUUCCUGCACCGCCUGGCCGCCGCCAGCAAGGACUGCGCGGUGGCCAUGUGCCGCGCGGGCGCCCGCGAGGCCCUGGGCAAAGCCCUGGAGAAACACAGCUCGGCCGUGCCGAUGGCGCCGGCCCUGCUGGAGCUGCUGAGCGACUGCGAGAAGUUCACCGGCCUCCACCGGACGCUGACGGGCAGCAUCUUGGCCGGCUGCAUCCAGGUGGGCCUGGGCAGCCGGGGAGCCCGUCGGCGCGGGGCUCUGGGUCUGGGGGCAGCCCCCGGCUCUCCGCCCGCUGCAGCGGGCGCAGGGGAGGAGGAGGCAGGCCCCCAGUAACCGCCCGCCCCCGUCCCCCAGCUGGCGCUGGGGCAGAUCGAAGAGCACCGCCGGAGCCAGCGGCCCGUCAGCAUCCCCUUCUUCGACGUCUUUCUGCGCAACCUGUGCCGAGGCUCCAGCGUGGAGGUGAGGGAGGACAAGUGCUGGGAGAAGGUGCAGGUCUCCUCCAACCCGCACCGCGCCAGCAAGCUCACGGACAGGAACCCCAAGACCUACUGGGAGUCGAACGGCAGCACCGGCUCCCACUUCAUCACUGUGCACAUGCAGUGCGGGGUGGUGGUCAGGGAGAUGAGCAUGCUGGUGGCCAGCGAGGACUCGAGCUACAUGCCAGCCCGCGUGGUGGUGCUGGGGGGAGACAGCCCUGCUGCCGUCGGGACGGUGCUCAACACCGUGAGCGUGCUGCCCUCGGCCAGCAGGGUGGUGCUGCUGAGGAACAUGACGCGCUUCUGGCCCGUCAUCCAGAUCCGGGUGAAGCGGUGCCAGCAGGUGGGGAGCCGGGGGCCAGCC
Molecule: long non-coding RNA, 867 nt
Filed under: Anser brachyrhynchus (Pink-footed goose)
Lineage: Eukaryota; Metazoa; Chordata; Aves; Anseriformes; Anatidae
Description: lncRNA (ENSABRG00000022523.1)
Source: RNAcentral